RNAcentral lists this ribosomal RNA (524 nucleotides) under uncultured bacterium. Its description in RNAcentral is "bacterial SSU rRNA". It matches the Rfam family "Bacterial small subunit ribosomal RNA", at positions 22 to 518 of the family's 1533-position model. The record is from RNAcentral.
GGUCAGGACGAACGCUGGCGGCGUGCCUAAUACAUGCAAGUCGAACGGUCUUUCUAUGGAAGCUUGCUUCCACUGAGAAGAUAGUGGCGAACGGGUGAGUAACACGUGGGUAACCUGCCCAUAAGAGGGGGGAUAACAUCCGGAAACGGGUGCUAAUACCGCAUAGUUUUCUUGAUCGCAUGAUCGGGAAAGGAAAGACGGCCUUUGUGCUGUCGCUUAUGGAUGGACCCGCGGCGUAUUAGUUAGUUGGUGAGGUAACGGCUCACCAAGACGAUGAUACGUAGCCGACCUGAGAGGGUGAUCGGCCACAUUGGGACUGAGACACGGCCCAAACUCCUACGGGAGGCAGCAGUAGGGAAUCUUCCGCAAUGGACGAAAGUCUGACGGAGCAACGCCGCGUGAGUGAAAGAAGGUUUUCGGAUCGUAAAACUCUGUUGUCAGAGAAGAACAAGUUGGAGAGUAACUGCUCCAGCCUUGACGGUAUCUGACCAGAAAGCCACGGCUAACUACGUGCCAGCCGCGGC